UAACUUAGUGGCGGACGGGUGAGUAACGCGUGGGUAACCUGCCUUACACAGGGGGAUAACACUUAGAAAUAGGUGCUAAUACCGCAUAAGCGCACAGUCCCGCAUGGGACAGAGUGAAAAACAUUAGUGGUGUAAGAUGGACCCGCGUCUGAUUAGCUGGUUGGCGGGGUAACGGCCCACCAAGGCGACGAUCAGUAGCCGGCCUGAGAGGGUGGACGGCCACAUUGGGACUGAGACACGGCCCAAACUCCUACGGGAGGCAGCAG
This 266-nucleotide ribosomal RNA is filed under the name uncultured bacterium. RNAcentral describes it as "partial 16S ribosomal RNA". It matches the Rfam family "Bacterial small subunit ribosomal RNA", at positions 88 to 354 of the family's 1533-position model. The record is from RNAcentral.